Molecule: transfer-messenger RNA, 405 nt
Filed under: Candidatus Campbelliibacteriota bacterium
Lineage: Bacteria; Candidatus Campbelliibacteriota
Description: Candidatus Campbellbacteria bacterium transfer-messenger RNA
Rfam family: transfer-messenger RNA
About the family: Bacterial tmRNA, also known as 10Sa RNA or SsrA, is named for its dual tRNA and mRNA-like properties. Its role is to liberate the mRNA from a stalled ribosome. To accomplish this part of the tmRNA is used as a reading frame that ends in a translation stop signal.
Source: RNAcentral
GGGGAUGCCUCGUUUCGACAAUGUGACAAUUGUUAUACGUGCGUGGUGGAAGUGUGCUGACUUCCUUAAAACAGUACAAACAUACCUGCAAAAUCUGCAGUCAAAAGUCCAUACUUCACAGUAUCGGAUUUCGCUUACGCUCUUGCAUAAAGAUUCUUGUCCUUCGGGACAAGUUGCCUAAGCGACGUCUUCUGACAUCUUCGUUCGAGAGGUGUUAGCGGGUGUAAACCAAUUCGAACUAGCGUACUCGGAUGUUCCGACGAAUACGUAACACUAAUCGGUUCUGGCACGCUAUCGUUUCGCCUGUCUUUAAGAUAGUGUGUAAGACCUCAAGACAACGCUAGAUUACGUAGACUCGUAUGGCAUUACAUAUUGGACGUGGGGUCAAACCCACCAUCUCCACAU